This 497-nucleotide ribosomal RNA is filed under the name uncultured bacterium. RNAcentral's name for it is "partial 16S ribosomal RNA". It matches the Rfam family "Bacterial small subunit ribosomal RNA", at positions 28 to 523 of the family's 1533-position model. The record is from RNAcentral.
GAUGAGCGCUGGCGGCGUGCUUAACACAUGCAAGUCGAACGAAGCAUUUAGAACAGAUUAUUUCGGUAUGAAGUUCUUUAUGACUGAGUGGCGGACGGGUGAGUAACGCGUGGGUAACCUGCCUUGUACUGGGGGAUAGCAGCUGGAAACGGCUGGUAAUACCGCAUAAGCGCACAAUGUUGCAUGACAUGGUGUGAAAAACUCCGGUGGUAUAAGAUGGACCCGCGUCUGAUUAGCUAGUUGGUGAGAUAACAGCCCACCAAGGCGACGAUCAGUAGCCGACCUGAGAGGGUGACCGGCCACAUUGGGACUGAGACACGGCCCAGACUCCUACGGGAGGCAGCAGUGGGGAAUAUUGCACAAUGGAGGAAACUCUGAUGCAGCGACGCCGCGUGAGUGAAGAAGUAAUUCGUUAUGUAAAGCUCUAUCAGCAGGGAAGAUAGUGACGGUACCUGACUAAGAAGCUCCGGCUAACUUCGUGCCAGCAGCCGCCGUAA